This is a long non-coding RNA of Oncorhynchus kisutch (coho salmon), 2193 nucleotides long. NCBI's taxonomy places the organism in Eukaryota, Metazoa, Chordata, Actinopteri, Salmoniformes, Salmonidae. The record is from Ensembl.
AUGUUUUUCGCGAUGCGGAUCCUGUGUUCUGCCUUACAACCAGUGCAACGGAGUGGAUUACAUGCAGCGACCCAAAAAAAACGACUCAGAAAAAGAGGGAAACGAGGCGGUCUUCUGGUCAGACUCCGGAGACGGGCACACCGUGCACCACUCCCUAGCAUUCUUCUUGCCAAUGUCCAGUCUCUUGACAACAAGGCUGAUGAAAUCCGAGCAAGGGUAGCAUUCCAGAGGGACAUCAGAGACUGUAACGUUAUCUGCUUCACGGAAACAUGGCUAACUGGAGUGACUCUAUCCGAAGCGGUGCAGCCAGCGGGUUUCUCCACGCAUCGCGCCGACAGAAACAAACAUCUCUCUGGUAAGAAGAGGGGCGGGGGCGUAUGCCUUAUGACUAACCUGACAUGGUGUGAUGAAAGAAACAUACAGGAACUCAAAUCCUUCUGUUCACCUGAUUUAGAAUUCCUCACAAUCAAAUGUAGACCGCAUUAUCUACCAAGAGAAUUCUCUUCGAUUAUAAUCACAGCCGUAUAUAUCCCCCCCCAAGCAGACACAUCGAUGGCUCUGAACGAACUUUAUUUAACUCUCUGCAAACUGGAAACGAUUUAUCCGGAGGCUGCAUUCAUUGUAGCUGGGGAUUUUAACAAGGCUAAUCUGAAAACAAGACUCCCUAAAUUUUAUCAGCAUAUCGAUUGCGUAACCAGGGGUGGAAAGACCCUGGAUCAUUGUUACUCUAACUUCCGCGAUGCAUAUAAGGCCCUGCCCCGCCCCCCUUUCGGUAAAGCUGACCACGACUCCAUUUUGUUGAUCCCUGCCUACAGACAGAAACUAAAACAAGAAGCUCCAACGCUGAGGUCUGUCCAACGCUGGUCUGACCAAGCUGACUCCACACUUCAAGACUGCUUCCAUCACGUGGACUGGGAGAUGUUUCGUAUUGCCUCAGACAACAACAUUGACGAAUACGCUGAUUCGGUGUGCGAGUUCAUUAGAACGUGCGUUGAAGAUGUCGUUCCCAUAGCAACGAUUAAAACAUUCCCUAACCAGAAACCGUGGAUUGAUGGCAGCAUUCGUGUGAAACUGAAGGCGCGAACCACUGCUUUUAAUCAUAGCAAGGUGUCUGGUAACAUGACUGAAUACAAACAGUGCAGCUAUUCCCUCCGCAAGGCUAUCAAACAAGCUAAGCGCCAGUACAGAGACAAAGUAGAAUCUCAAUUCAACGGCUCAGACACAAGAGGCAUGUGGCAGGGUCUACAGUCAAUCACGGACUACAGGAAGAAACCCAGCCCAGUCACGGACCAGGAUGUCUUGCUCCCAGGCAGACUAAAUAACUUUUUUGCCCGCUUUGAGGACAAUACAGUGCCACUGACACGGCCUGCAACGAAAACAUGCGGUCUCUCCUUCACUGCAGCCGAAGUGAGUAAGACAUUUAAACGUGUUAACCCUCGCAAGGCUGCAGGUCCAGACGGCAUCCCCAGCCGCGCCCUCAGAGCAUGCGCAGACCAGCUGGCCGGUGUGUUUACGGACAUAUUCAAUCAAUCCCUAUACCAGUCUGCUGUUCCCACAUGCUUCAAGAGGGCCACCAUUGUUCCUGUUCCCAAGAAAGCUAAGGUAACUGAGCUAAAUGACUACCGCCCCGUAGCACUCACAUCCGUCAUCAUGAAGUGCUUUGAGAGACUAGUCAAGGACCAUAUCACCUCCACCCUACCUGACACCCUAGACCCACUCCAAUUUGCUUACCGCCCAAAUAGGUCCACAGACGAUGCAAUCUCAACCACACUGCACACUGCCCUAACCCAUCUGGACAAGAGGAAUACCUAUGUGAGAAUGCUGUUCAUCGACUACAGCUCGGCAUUCAACACCAUAGUACCCUCCAAGCUCGUCAUCAAGCUCGAGACCCUGGGUCUCGACCCCCCCCCUGUGCAACUGGGUACUGGACUUCCUGACGGGCCGCCCCCAGGUGGUGAGGGUAGGCAACAACAUCUCCUCCCCGCUGAUCCUCAACACUGGGGCCCCACAAGGGUGCAUUCUGAGCCCUCUCCUGUACUCCCUGUUCACCCACGACUGCGUGGCCACGCACGCCUCCAACUCAAUCAUCAAGUUUGCGGACGACACAACAGUGGUAGGCUUGAUUACCAACAACGACGAGACUGCCUACAGGGAGGAGGUGAGGGCCCUCGAAGUGUGGUGUCAGGAAAAUAA